Molecule: unclassified non-coding RNA, 3225 nt
Filed under: Leishmania donovani
Lineage: Eukaryota; Euglenozoa; Kinetoplastea; Trypanosomatida; Trypanosomatidae
Description: gene:unknown
Source: RNAcentral
CGCAACCGGACGCAGGCACGGCACCACGCCAUCUGUGCUCAUCACACCACACUCCCCACAUUCUCCGCGGGCAAGGAUGUCAUGCAGGCCAAACUACGAUUCGUCCUCUGCAAGGUGUCGCGCUGGACACUGGAGCACGCCAGGCAGCUGGAUGAGCAUCCCCCAACACAUGGCGCACACCCGCCGGUGCGCGGCACCGCGACCAGCAGCAGCUCUCCGCUGCACGCAGUCACCUCAUCACGCACGUCUCAUCCGCGCUGCACAGGCUGCCCCCGUCGGUUGCCUGUCGCUAUCCCCACUACACCCUCUGUGCCCCCACACAACGGCAGGCUGUGAGCUCUCUGUAUGCGCGGGCGCAUGCGGAUCCACCAGCACCCUCUGCCCGGCCACAGCCCCAAGACUGUGAAGGGCGUGCGGGCGGAGAGGAGGCUGGAGCGUCUCCUGCCGCCGCCGGCGCAGGGCAGUAUCCGGACUGUCGCGGCAGCAUGCGGGCAAGCCAUCCAGGCACGCCUCCCCUCCUCCUCCACCUCCCCCAGGCAAGAACGCCGUCUUGACGCAGGCCGCGGGAUGCCGCAAAUGCGAGCACGGCGCCUGCGCGCCGUGGGGCACAGCCGGCACGGUGUACCACGCCCAGGCACAGCAUCCGGCGGUCAGCGGAGCGCGAGUGAGGGGCGCGAAGCGGCCCAUGCCGAUCACCCCCCUCCCCCGACGAGCAUGCCUGCGAAGCAUGCGGCACAGCCCGUCUGCAUCCCGACGGGGCGGGCUGAUGAGGCGCAGACGCCGGAAGCAUGGCGAGAGCACCGCCGAGCCCUGCAGACUCCCACGCGACGAGUCGCCGCGCCGGAUUACGGAAUAGCGCGACUUGCAGCGGCUCUGGGCGCAGGAGCACGGCACGCAGGCCGGGCCUCAGAGGGCCCUGCCCCGAGGCUGGCCCGCCUCCUCCUCGAGCUCGUGCGGCGUGCGCGGUGGCCGCCCCCUGUUACGCGGGCGACAGAGACGCCGUCGCCACUGCCCUGGAGCGCAGGACGCUGCAGGCGACCCUGCUUGGAUCGAGGCAUGCGCCCCAGCGGAGGCCCGUCUGGCGCCCGAGGCGCAUAGCACGUAUGCGAAAGCAGGGACGGGGAAGGGCAGGCGGAGCCCGUUAGAUGCAUGGCUCCGGCCUUGAAGGCAGGACGGUUCGUCCCAGACGACGAGGGUGCAGCUGUUGUGCGGCAGAGACAGAUGCGCGGUGGUUGCGUAGGCGAAGAUUUUGCUGCCAUGUGCUUGUUGGUGGAAUGACGCUUUGACGAAAACGUUUUCUUUUUGGUGUUUGUUUCCUACUUGUAACUGUUUGCAUAGUUGCCACCCCUCCCCCUUGUUUGCGCGCGCGCGGUGGGAAAAGCGAAUGUGUGGAGAAUCUCGAGGAGCUCUUUUCUGAUGAAUGCUCAUGUGCCAGUUUGUACGUGAAGUAGGCGUGCGCGGCGUGAUGAAUGUUAUGCCUGCUAAUGUAAAGUAGUCGCAGCUUGCUCUUGUAUGGGCUUUUUUGGUGGUGCAUACUCUUUUCGCGUCUUCCUGCGUUGCCUAUCUUAUUGAUGGCACAAGUGUGUCCAAUCCCGCAGGUCGCUUCGACGCAGCGCCAUCCAGGGCCUGACGGUCAAUAUCAGCAGCGAUACAUACCUCUGACCUCCUCACAUCGUAGGUACUCGACCCUGUCACCAUCAGCAGUAGUACCGCAUUGGAAGGGAAAAGGGCCGCUGAGCUCCCCCCCCCCCCACACACAGAGUGAGCGCUGCGCUCUGAGACACUGCGCGCUUGAGGUGUGCUCUCUGUCACGAAGCGAUUUCGGUGCGGAUGUGAAAAAAGGGCGAAAAACGGAGACAGCGCGUCCGUUUGUUCAGAAUUGUUUGGCGAUGCGCAUGUGGUGGUUUGCUCUCUGCGCAUUGGGGCCUGGAAAGGAGUAGUUGAUCUUCGGGUAGAAUAGCAUUGACUUCCUGGGUGCGCACGUUUUUCGUUCCUCUCUCGCUCUUUGUCUGUCUCUAUGUCUUGGUGUAUGCCAGCACUGCUCGGUUGUGGCGCAUUUGAUGCAGGACGUAUAAGAAGCAUCAUUAUUCUAUUUUCCACCGUGCGCCUGUCCUCGUUGUGCCUCCCUCCCUGUGUGUGGUCGCAUGUGUGUGUGUGUGCUCAAGGAUAUUGUUUCUUCAUUGCGUUUGCUAUUCAUGCUGUGCGUUGCAGCGGAGUCUCUAUCUCUCUGUGUGUUUACGCAGCGCCCCUUCUCCACGUUCCCGCCCAGCUGCCUCCCCCUACGCGGUCGCUUUCUUUGUACGUCUUUUGUGUUGCUGCCGUCGUCCCCUUUCGUCGUAUAUUGGUGUGCUGCGAUCUUCAUCUCUUGCCUGCUUUGUUUUGCAUCUCUGUCUCUCUUUCUUUGACUCUUGUACUUCCUUUCUGCGUGUCGUGGCGUGCGGAUGUGUAUAUAUGUGUGCGUGUGUGUGUGUGUGUGCGUUCCAUUCCUUUUAAGGCCCCUUGCCGCCGUUCUCCCCUUCUGUUUUUCCUUUUCGUCCCCCUCCCUCACACUCUUUUUCUUCUCUCUCGCUAUUUGCGGCUCUUCUCCCUCUGGCAGCAUCCGUCACCUCGCCGGCCUCCACCGCUCUAUUACCACGCUUCGCUCAACUCUACCAUUGUUUCGUUUUCUUUCUCCUCUUCGUUCUUCGUGUGUUUUUUCCUGCUGUUUUUUUUUUUCUCUUUUUUUUUUUGCGUGCGUGUCUAUCUCUGUGUGUGUCUGUUGUCCCUCCCUCCAUCUUUUUUUUUCAUGCACACCACUGUGGCCAUGGCGCCGUACAGAUGAUACAGAAGAAAAGGCGCACGGAAGAUAAACGAGAUGGCCGCGAAAAAAAAAAGAAAACGAACGGCGCGCUCGACACCGUCGGUCCUCUCGUGCUUUGUGUGUGUGUGUGUGCGGUACAAAUGCCGACCGUGCAGCGAUCUGCUUCCUGGCUGACGAAAAACAGCCGCCUUGUCGUCCGCAUCCGUGUCAAGUUCCUUUGUCGCACUCUUUUGCAACCACACAAGUGAACUGUUUCUUUCCCUCGUCGCUGAUCGUCCGGUUUGCUUCUGCUCCCCCUUCCCUUCAGCUCCCUCUUCACUUUCUUUCUUCCCUAACAUCGACGCACGCGCGUUGGCCACCGCAUGGCUUUGCACGUCCACCUCCUCACCUCCGUGCGCACACACAAACACACACGAACACAACAG